Chrysolophus pictus (golden pheasant) is the source of this 75-nucleotide small nucleolar RNA. The record is from Ensembl. Lineage: Eukaryota; Metazoa; Chordata; Aves; Galliformes; Phasianidae.
CUUCCGGUGAUGAUGGAUUUCGGUGACUUUCGUUCUUCUGAGCUCGCUGAAGCCACGCGCGAAAAUCUGAGGAGG